RNAcentral lists this long non-coding RNA (1012 nucleotides) under Sorghum bicolor (sorghum). RNAcentral describes it as "long non-coding RNA (SBIC_LNC013412)". Lineage: Eukaryota; Viridiplantae; Streptophyta; Magnoliopsida; Poales; Poaceae. The record is from RNAcentral.
GUAGCUAAUAGUUGCCAAUUUUUAGCAGGGGACUGUUUGGAUCUACCCGCUAAUACGUGGUUGGAUAUCGACUAUUAACACCUAUUAGCAAACUCAAACCUUAGCCCUCCAGCUAAACAAGUAGCAAGUUUAUUUGCAAAUCUGUUUCGAUCCACUAGUAAUAAUUUUAGUACUAAUGAAUCUAAACGGGUGCGUGCUCAUAUGUACCGAAAUACUAUCAUAUAUAGUCUAACUUGCCGAUUAGGGGCUAAGGUCGGGACCAAAGAUUUUGAUCCGAUAUAUAUUUUUCUCUCGGUCUCUCAUGAUCUUCAUUACUGAUGGGCUGGAUUUGGGAUUACCGGCCCAUGUUUCACGGACUUCUCGUGUGGGCCAAAACGGAUCCCCCUUUGUAUUAGCCGGUGCCGCCCUACACCGCACGUGCAUGAUGAGACAACUGCAGCGAAAUCACCCAAACAAAGAAAAAAAAAACUCUAAAAAUAAGGAGAGAAAUCAAAUGGCCGGACAAAAUAAAAGACGACCAAAGUAAACAAAGCUACUGAAAGAGGAACAAAUCACCUACUCAGCUACUCCCUCCCUCCAUGGACUGCCGCCGGUCGCCCUUUUUUUUUGGUCUUUUGUGGAGCGGAAAAAAAAAAGAAAUGGAGACGCAUCGCAUGGCCUGGCCUGGCCUUCAUUUAUCUGUGUUCCUGCUGGAAUGAAUACCAUCGCAGCAGGCCCUUUUAUAGCAGGUAACAACACACACACACCCACCUCGUCGGUGUGCGGCGUGGCGCCAGUCCCGCCCCGCGCCAUCUCCGAUCCGCUAGCUCCGACGAGAGCUCCCGGCCGGCCAUCGAUCCCAUGCAUUAUAUUUCCACCAGACCAGGAAGCUAGCUAGAUCCCAUUCCCAUGCAUGCAUUCUCGUCGAUAUAUAUAUCGGUCUCGCCAUUAAUUAACCUACCUAGCUAUAUAUCAUAUCUCCUCCCUCCUUCAUUAUUUAUUUAUUUCAUCACUUCCUUCCUUCCUUCCUGCC